This is a small nucleolar RNA of Eutrema salsugineum, 73 nucleotides long. It matches the Rfam family "Small nucleolar RNA snoR122". The record is from Rfam. NCBI's taxonomy places the organism in Eukaryota, Viridiplantae, Streptophyta, Magnoliopsida, Brassicales, Brassicaceae.
UGCCUAUGAUGCAUCUUUACUAUUGCACGUAUUAACAGAUCUUCAGUGAUGAGUAUCACUAAUUUCUGAGGCA